UACUUCAUAUGUAUUUCACUGUAAUGUAUUUAGGUAUGUUUUUAGAGUUAGAAUAUAGAUAAAGGUAUAUUCAGGUCUAUGAAAAUAAGGUGAUAAAUUUAAUAAUUCUCAACUCAGUUUGAUAUCCCUUAUUUAAUAAGAACUUUGUAAGGUUUUCUGUGAAGUUUACAUUAUAUAUUUGUUUACUUUUUUAUUGUUUUUGAGACAGGGUCUCACUCUGUCACCCAGGCUGGAGUGCAGUGGUGUAAUCUCCGUUCACUGCAGGCCUCCUGGGUUCAAUUAGGAUAGAACAGUAGUUCCUCCUACCCAGGGCUUUACAGUCAAGCCAUUCUUUUGCCUCAGCUUCCUGAGUAGCUGGGAUUACAGGUGCCCGCAACCACGCCUGGCUACGUUUUCUAAUUUUUGUACAUUUAGUAGAGACGGGGUUUCACCUUGUUGACCAGGAUGGUCUCGAUCUCUUGACCUUGUGAUCCGCCCGCCUCAGCCUCCCAAAGUGCUGGGAUUAUAGGUGUGAGCCACCGCACCUGGCCUAAUUUUGUAUUUUCAGUAGAGAUGGGGUUUCUCCAUGUUGGCCAGGCUGGUCUCGAACUCUGGACCUGAGGUGAUUCUCCCACCUCGGCCUCCCAAAGUGCUGAGAUUACAGGUGUGAGCCACCAUUCCCGGCCCGAAAGUAGUGCUUAAAUUUUCAAUUUGUUGGGAAGUGAUAAUUUUAUAAAAUGGAAUAAAAAAAUGAAUUACUACAAAAACAAAAUGAAUACUCCAAAAAGCAAAGUUGCAAGUUCAAAUAAUUUUUUUUUGAGAUAGAGUGUCCUCUAUUGCCCAGGUUAGAGUGCAGUGGUGCAAUCUCGGCUCACUGCAACCUCUGUGUCCCAGGUUCAAAUAGUUCUCGUGCCUCAGCC
Callithrix jacchus (white-tufted-ear marmoset) is the source of this 899-nucleotide non-coding RNA. NCBI's taxonomy places the organism in Eukaryota, Metazoa, Chordata, Mammalia, Primates, Cebidae. The record is from RefSeq and is a predicted model, not a curated record.